UACGGGAGGGGCAAGCGUUAUCCGGCUUAACUAGGCGUAAAGUGUUUGUAGAUGGUAAAAUAAGUUAUUAGUUAAAAAAUAGAGCCCAACUUUAGAAAAGCUUUUAAUAUUGUUUUACUUGAGUUUUAUAUGGAAGAGUAGAAUUUUACAUGAAAGGGUGAAAUCUGCAGAUAUGUAAAGGAAUACCAAUAGCGAAGGCAACUCUUUAAUAAAAACUGACAUUGAGAAACGAAAGUAUGGGUAGCAAACAGG
This 252-nucleotide ribosomal RNA is filed under the name uncultured bacterium. RNAcentral describes it as "partial 16S ribosomal RNA". It matches the Rfam family "Bacterial small subunit ribosomal RNA", at positions 524 to 776 of the family's 1533-position model. The record is from RNAcentral.